Molecule: ribosomal RNA, 472 nt
Filed under: uncultured bacterium
Lineage: Bacteria
Description: partial 16S ribosomal RNA
Rfam family: Bacterial small subunit ribosomal RNA
Source: RNAcentral
GACGAACGCUGGCGGCGUGCUUAACACAUGCAAGUCGAACGCUGAAGCUUGGUGCUUGCGCUGGGUGGAUGAGUGGCGAACGGGUGAGUAAUAAGUGAGUAACCUGCCCUUGACUCUGGGAUAAGCCUGGGAAACUGGGUCUAAUACUGGAUACGACAUGUCACCGCAUGGUGGUGUGUGGAAAGGGUUUUACUGGUUUUGGAUGGGCUCACGGCCUAUCAGCUUGUUGGUGGGGUAAUGGCUCACCAAGGCGACGACGGGUAGCCGGCCUGAGAGGGUGACCGGCCACACUGGGACUGAGACACGGCCCAGACUCCUACGGGAGGCAGCAGUGGGGAAUAUUGCACAAUGGGCGGAAGCCUGAUGCAGCGACGCCGCGUGAGGGAUGACGGCCUUCGGGUUGUAAACCUCUUUCAGCACGGAAGAAGCGAAAGUGACGGUACGUGCAGAAGAAGCGCCGGCUAACUACGUG